Molecule: transfer RNA, 65 nt
Filed under: Osphya sp. n.
Lineage: Eukaryota; Metazoa; Arthropoda; Insecta; Coleoptera; Melandryidae
Description: tRNA-Ser
Source: RNAcentral
AAUUAAUGAGCUUGAAUAAGUUUAUAUUUUGAAAAUAUAAGAAAGAAACCCUUUUCUAUUAAUUU